This 388-nucleotide ribosomal RNA is filed under the name uncultured bacterium. Its description in RNAcentral is "bacterial SSU rRNA". It matches the Rfam family "Bacterial small subunit ribosomal RNA", at positions 28 to 417 of the family's 1533-position model. The record is from RNAcentral.
GACGAACGCUGGCGGCGUGCUUAACACAUGCAAGUCGAGCGGUAAGGCCCUUUCGGGGGUACACGAGCGGCGAACGGGUGAGUAACACGUGGGUGACCUGCCCUCAGCUCUGGGAUAAGCCUGGGAAACUGGGUCUAAUACUGGAUAUGACUCCACGGUGCAUGUCGUGGGGUGGAAAGCCUUGUGCGGCUGAGGAUGGGCCCGCGGCCUAUCAGCUUGUUGGUGGGGUGAUGGCCUACCAAGGCGACGACGGGUAGCCGGCCUGAGAGGGCGACCGGCCACACUGGGACUGAGACACGGCCCAGACUCCUACGGGAGGCAGCAGUGGGGAAUCUUGCGCAAUGGGCGAAAGCCUGACGUAGCGACGCCGCGUGAGGGAUGACGGCCU